UACAGUGGGGGCCAGCGUUAUUCGGAAUUAUUGGGCGUAAAGGGCGCGUAGGCGGCCAUGCGUGUCUUUCGUGAAACCCCUCGGCUUAACUGAGGACGUGCGGAAGAAACUGCAAGGCUUGAGUCCGGGAGAGGGGGGUGGAAUUCCCAGUGUAGCGGUGAAAUGCGUAGAUAUUGGGAGGAACACCGGUGGCGAAGGCGGCCCCCUGGACCGGUACUGACGCUGAGGCGCGAAGGCCAGGGGAGCAAACGGG
This 253-nucleotide ribosomal RNA is filed under the name uncultured bacterium. RNAcentral describes it as "partial 16S ribosomal RNA". It matches the Rfam family "Bacterial small subunit ribosomal RNA", at positions 524 to 776 of the family's 1533-position model. The record is from RNAcentral.